AGCAUAUCAAUAAGCGGAGGAAAAGAAACCAACAGGGAUUGUCUUAGUAACGGCGAGUGAAGCGACAAAAGCUCAAAUUUGAAAUCUGGCACCUUCGGUGUCCGAGUUGUAAUUUGAAGAAGGUAACUUUGGAGUUGGCUCUUGUCUAUGUUCCUUGGAACAGGACGUCACAGAGGGUGAGAAUCCCGUGCGAUGAGAUGUCCAACUCUAUGUAAAGUGCUUUCGAAGAGUCGAGUUGUUUGGGAAUGCAGCUCUAAGUGGGUGGUAAAUUCCAUCUAAAGCUAAAUAUUGGCGAGAGACCGAUAGCGAACAAGUACAGUGAUGGAAAGAUGAAAAGAACUUUGAAAAGAGAGUGAAAAAGUACGUGAAAUUGUUGAAAGGGAAGGGUUUGAGAUCAGACUUGGUAUUUUGUAUGUCUUGCUUUCGGGUGGGGCCUCUGCAGUUUACUGGGCCAGCAUCGGUUUGGACGGUAGGAUAAUGACAUUGGAAUGUGGCACUACUUCGGUGGUGUGUUAUAGACU
Molecule: ribosomal RNA, 521 nt
Filed under: Scheffersomyces shehatae
Lineage: Eukaryota; Fungi; Ascomycota; Pichiomycetes; Serinales; Debaryomycetaceae
Description: eukaryotic LSU rRNA
Rfam family: Eukaryotic large subunit ribosomal RNA
Source: RNAcentral